ACUAUCCUACGGGGGGCAGCAGUGGGGAAUAUUGCACAAUGGGGGAAACCCUGAUGCAGCGACGCCGCGUGAGCGAUGAAGUAUUUAGGUAUGUAAAGCUCUAUCAGCAGGGAAGAAGAUGACGGUAUCUGACUAAGAAGCCACGGCUAACUACGUGCCAGCAGCCGCGGUAAUACGUAGGGGGCAAGCGUUAUCCGGAUUUACUGGGUGUAAAGGGAGCGUAGACGGCGAUGCAAGCCAGAUGUGAAAGCCCGGGGCUCAACACGGGGACUGCAUUUGGAACUGUGUGGAUGGAGUGUCGGAGG
RNAcentral lists this ribosomal RNA (305 nucleotides) under uncultured bacterium. Its description in RNAcentral is "bacterial SSU rRNA". It matches the Rfam family "Bacterial small subunit ribosomal RNA", at positions 333 to 655 of the family's 1533-position model. The record is from RNAcentral.